UUUCAGGGAAGUGGAUAGUCACUCCAGAGUUUGUUCUGCUCCCAGAGGCUUCAUAUGAAUUAAACUUAACAGCUCAGACUCCUGAAACACCCAAUCCACUGAAAACAUGGAGAGAGAGAGAGAGAGAGGGUGUCUAAUGGCACUGUGUACGGAGCUUUUCAGGACUGGGUACUAGUGCUCAUUGACAUUGAUGAUCCAGCGAGGAGAAGUGUGUAUGUCAGGAUAUUAAAAGCAGGCAGAGCUGUUGUCAUCACAGACUGGUCGACUUCAUAUGAUGUAACUCACGUGAUAACCACAAAUACAUCCAAAGAUAAAGGCGAGAAGUGCAGAAUCCCUCACUAUAGUGUCAGCUAUGUAGCCAAACAUCUUUUUGGGCAUGUUUGCUCAGAGUUAAACUGAUCCUGUAAUCUGGAGUCCUUCA
Molecule: long non-coding RNA, 421 nt
Filed under: Sinocyclocheilus anshuiensis
Lineage: Eukaryota; Metazoa; Chordata; Actinopteri; Cypriniformes; Cyprinidae
Description: lncRNA (ENSSANG00000003067.1)
Source: RNAcentral